Long non-coding RNA from Arachis duranensis, 1391 nucleotides. RefSeq lists it as uncharacterized. Lineage: Eukaryota; Viridiplantae; Streptophyta; Magnoliopsida; Fabales; Fabaceae. The transcript has 3 exons. The record is from RefSeq and is a predicted model, not a curated record.
AGUCCAAGAUCAAAUUGCCUACUGGAAACUCGUGGGCACCCCGGCAAGAAGGUUCAGCUCUCGGAGUCCAAGAUCUCGCAGCUCUACUUGAUUUCCAGAGAUAUUUUCUUGCAACGGCCAAAUUUAUGGGAUCUCCAAUCUUUCAUUUAGAUUUGUGGUACUAUAACUUCUUGCAAUCCCUGACUCUACCACUUUCUUUCUUAAUAACAAGUGAAUAUGUAAACUUUUGUGCAUCCCUUACUCUACUGCUUUCUUUCUUGCAAUCCCUUUUGUUUCGGUCUUCUUCCUUUCUUUUUGAAGUCGGCGUUUGAUUGAUUUGUUAUUGCGUUUAUUUUUUAUUUUAAUUUUUUCUAAUAGUAGUUUUAUAUUCUUUUAAUUUGAGUGACAUUACUAUUAUAUAUUUUAAUAUGUUUUUUAACCAUAUUUUAAAAUCUUGAUUUUCAUUUCAUAUCACUUCUCUAGAAUCUUAUUUUUCCAAUACAUUAUUGACUAAGAUUUGGUAACUUUUACUGUUUAUGAUACACGAUUUGGUAUCUCCUUUUUGAGUUUUGAUAAUGGAAUUUGGUAAAUAUUUUGAUUUUAACCGUUUAUGUGAUCUCUUUAGAUCUUUAUCAUUAUCAUAACUUCAGAAAAAAGAAAAUAAUAUCACUACAGAAGCAAGGAGGUGAAGAAACCAUGAUGGCAAUCCUAAAUGUAAUAAUUGAAAGAAAAAGGAGGAAUUGGAGAAAGAAAGUGGUGGUUCAGGUUCGCAUUCCUCCUUGUAAAGCCUUCUUUGGCAUCAUGGUUCUGCUAUGGUGCUUGGUUCAGUUGUGCCUCAAAUAAGGUAGCAUAGGUUCCAUUAACAUUGUCAUAACCAUUCUCACAUUAGUUUAUUUUUUAUUUUUUAGUUAUUAGUUUAGUGACUUCAUUGCCAUACUCUAUUGUGGCAUAUUUUUUGGGGUGCAUUAAAACAUGCGAAUGGAAUUGAAGGCGGAUCAACAAUUGUUGUUAGAGUAAUAGCAUGCUUUCAACCCUUGCACAAUUGUCAGCCAAUGACAGCUUUGGGUGAACAAGUGUGUCAAUCUGUGGAGAUAAUGUUGGAAAGAUUAUGCGCGGCUAACCAUUUAAUGUAUGCAGUUUAUAUGCCUUCCAUAUGUGCAAGCCUCUCAAUGAGUAUGACAGCAAGAAUGGGAACCAGUACUGCCCCCAGGCCAUUCACUGUAUACACUAUUCUUCAUUCAUAUGUUGCAACUGUGCUAAAGAUUUUUAGCAUUAUAAGAUGUUUUAAAUAUUUAAUAAAUUACUUCUAAAAAAUAGAUUCAUUGUGUUUUAAAUGGUUAUGCUGUUUUAUUUUUUAGUCUCUCUUUAUGUUAUAUGAGAUAUUCCAACUGUAUAAUUAAUUGAGAAUCCAC